GGAGGCAAUCAGUGAAGUACUAGAUUGAAAGUAGUGAGCUGGAUUUUUGUAUGGCGAGAUGAUCAAUUCUCCAUUUCUGCAAUGAAAUGGUGCAAACAGCGUGGGUUAUAUGAUUUCUUGACUAAUUUGAUGCUGUUUGAGCAAAAGUUUGGAUAACUGUGUUGUUGAAGUUGCAAGAAAAAAUAAAACAACAACACAGUUAUUCAAACUUUUGCUCAAAUAGCAUCAAAUUAGACAAUAAAUCAUAUAACCCACGCUGUUUGCACCAUUUCAUUGCAGAAAUGGAGAAAUGAUCAUCUCGCCAUACAAAAAUCCAGCUCACUACUUUCAAUCUAGUACUUCACUGAUUGCCUCCUAUUGACCUUCUCACCAUACUAAAAUUCAGCUCAUUACUACAAAUCUAGUACUACACCGAACGUGCCCCAUUGGCUGUUUUGUGAGAUGUUCGAGCUGCUGCUGCCAGUAGUUCAAAUUAAGAUUAAAAUUGGUUAAAAUUAUAAUUACGAUGGUUCAAAUUAAGAUUAAAAUCAUUGUUGAUGAAAAAUAAAAUAUUUCAAUGAAAUUCGGUGCAAAUACAUACUUUUUACCAUUUAACAGAAAGCUUAUACCUGUGGCUUUCAUGUGCAUACGAUUUUGCCGUAGAGCGAUUCCAAGCAACAGCAUCAAAAUUAAGGAAAUUUUUUAAUUCAAGAUUUUCUAUUGAACUGAAACUUUGCACAGUAUUUCAGUUCCAUCUAAAUCACCAUUUUUCGAUAUCAAAUUUUUAUUUUGAAUCACGACUAACUUUUCAAAAGGGUGUAUGUGAAAAUGGUUCAAAAAUAUUCAAAAAACUGCACAGCCAAAAUGGUUCGUUCGAUUGUUAUGAAUUUUUCAGCAAAGUUAGAUAACUAAAUGAUGAUUCCUAAGAAAAUAUAGACUGUGAAAAAAAAUCUCUUUUAACAUGAAAAAAUAUAUUUUUUGCCACAAAAACUCAAAUAACUCAAAACCCUAUCUUUUUACCAACGUAAUUUUUUUAGCGAAGACGGUCCAUUAUAUUAGCAAUCUACCAUAAAAAUUUGGUGAUGGUAAACUAAUAAACAAAAAAGUUAUAACAUUUCAAAAAUUUCACAAUUUUCACAUUUGGUAAAUAUUUUUUCUGUGUAAAUUAUUUCGGUCAGAAAUCGCAGUUUGAUGCUGAUUUUAUUGUUCAGCAAAGUUAGAUAACUAAAUGGUGAUUCAUAAGAAAAUAUACACUGUGAAAAAAAAAUCUUUUUAACAUUAAAAAAUAUCAUUUUUGUCACAAAAACUCAAAUAUCUCAAAUAUCUCAAAUCCUAUCUUUUUACCAACGUAAUUUUUUAGGGAAAACGGUCCAUUGUAUUAAAAAUUUACCAUAAAAAUUUGGUGAUGAUAAACUAAUAAACAAAAAAGUUAUGAUAAUUAAAACAUUUCAUAAUUUUCACAUUUAGUUAUAAAUUUUUUUUAGUGUAAAUUAUUUCGGCCGGAAAUCGCAGCUUGAUGCUGAUUUUUUUGUUAAUGGCCUUGCGUGAGUAAAACAAGCUGUUUUAAUUAUGUAUUAUGUAUAUUAUAUGUACAGUAAUGUUCCGAUUCUAUCACGCUCUCCGCGCAUUAGUCGUUUAUUCAUUAAUUUGCUGUUACAUUUGAGGACAAGUGUUUUCCCUCUUCUUCAAGAUGAAUGUUGAAAGCGUGUUUUGCAACGUUAAAAAUAUUGAAAUGGGUAUAGAUGUUGAAGCGACUGCUCAUGUUGUUCGUUAGAUUAUAAUAAACACAAUCACUUAUUAGUUUUAACUGACUAGUUUGGUGUUGUUUGCUUGGCUGAAGAAAAAAUUUACUAUUAAAUUUUUAAUAUCCAUAGCGGUAGUAUUUCUUUGUUUUUUCGUGAGCAUUGUCAUGGUAUGUAUACAGACACACAAACGUAACACUGACGAAAUUUCCAUUGACCACGCAUUUAACGAUCAUUUUGAAUCUUGGCUGUGGCUUUCAUAUCCAGAAGAGCGCCCAUCGUGCGUUUGACGUUUCACACUAGCGCCUUCUGAUGACGAUAUUGCACAACGCAGUGUUUCGUGAAACAUUUCCACCAGGUGGUGGUAGUGUGAACUGGGCGAUGGAUUUUCACGAAAAGUGUCCUAGGCGUUUCGUCUGUUUGUCUAUGGUAUGUACCUCUCAUGCAUUUGUUGUUGUUGAAAUUACUCGCAUUCUUCCGAUCAUAAAGUCUGUUCUCUAAGAGGUAAUUUUUUUUUGCAGAUAAACUAGACGUAUACGCGUAUGUAAAACUUUUAUUAUACAGCUUUUGUCUUAAAAAUAAGUUUAAUUCCAUUUUUCUUAUAAUCAACAGCUUUUCAACACUAUCAAGGGAUUUUUUCGCCAGUCACGUACAAUAAAAAGUAUGACACUCUCAAUAUUUUUGAUCACAACACUGGAUCGCGUCUAAGUUUCAAAUAGAUACUAUAGUAAUUAUGAAUAAUCAAACAAAAAUAUCUUGAAAACAACUUGUUUAAUUCAGGUGGUAGCCUUGACAAUAAAAUCAGCAUCAAAAUAUAAUUCUCGAAAUAGUUUACACAGAAAAAAUUUUUUUUUUUGUAACUAAAUCUAAAAAUUGUGAAAUGUUUGAAAUGUCAUAACUUUUUUGUUUAUCAGUUUACCAUCACCAAAAUUUUAUGGUAGAUAGCUGAUAUAAUGGGCCAUUUCCCCUAAAAAAUUGUCGUUGGUAAAAAGAUAGGGUUUUGAGAUAUUUGAGUUUUUGUGACAAAGAUCAUAUUUUUUUGAAGUAAAAAAAGAAAUUUUUUACAGUGUAUAUUUUCUAAGGAAUCAUCAUUUAGUUAUCUAACUUUGCUGAAAAAUUCAUAACAAUCGAACAAUCCGUUUUUGCUGUACAGCUUUUAGAAUAUUUUUGAACUGUUUUCGCACACACCCUUUUGAAAAGUUAGUCGUGAGUGAAUAUGAAGGUUUAAUAUCGAAAAAUGGCGGUUUAGAUGGAACUGAAAAACUGUGCAAAGUUUCAGAUAUUUUUGAAAUGGUCGCUCAGGAUCGACUGACAUGACUCCGUGGAAUUCCUCCGUAGUAAAUUGUUUCCAUUUGCACUGCUUCAGAAAGCCGGAAUAGGAGGCAAUCAGUGAAGUACUAGAUUGAAAGUAGUGAGCUAGAUUUUUGUAUGGUGAGAUGAUCGAUUCUCCAUUUCUGCAAUGAAAUGGUGCAAACAGCGUGGGUUAUAUGAUUACUUGCCUAAUUUGAUGCUGAUUGAGCAAAAGUUUGGAUAACUGUGUUGUUGUAUUAUUUAUUUCUUGCAACUUCAACAACACAGUUACCCAAGUUUUUGGUCAAACAGCAUCAAAUUAGACAAGAAAUCAUAUAACCCACGCUGUUUGCACCAUUUCAUUGCAGAAAUGGAGAAUCGAUCAUCUCACCAUACAAAAAUCCAGCUCACUACUUUCAAUCUAGUACUUCACUGAUUGCCUCCUAUUUGGUUCAAAUUUUGAUUACCCACCCUAUGGAUAAUCAUUUGUUAUAUAGACACUAUAGAUUCCAUAGACUCGCGGAGAUAUGGUUGAGCAAUACGAUUAAAGUGUGUUUUAUCGUGAAUUUACCGAGCAAAUAUGACGUCACGUAGUCCAUUAUAGUUAUUGAAAUCGUGAGACGUCAUGCUCUUUUGACUACACGUUUGGCUACAGUUGUCUACGCCUCCGUGAGUCUAUGGAAUCUAUAUUGUCUAUAAUUUGUAAUCGUCCGUGUUUGCUACCCACCAUCGUUCGGGAGUAAUGCCUGGUUUAGACGGUGGAAGUGACUUAUAAGCGAAGACGUUCUACCAUUUAGCCGUCUUCGUUAUUGACGAUCAAACGCAAAGCUAAAUUGUGCAGGUGGCGUUUUUCUAAAACAGUGAAUUACGAACCCUAGACUGAAUUAAUAAUGAUAUAAAUGGAAGAAAAGUGAAAUUAUUACGGAUUCUCAUAACUUUCAUGCAAUGUAUUGACAAGACAUAUGUUAUUUUUGCUUCCAAAGUUGAAAAUUUUGCGUUACCUAACCUCACAUUUGAUCGCCAAUAAGGCUAUCUGACGUUUGAUCACCUUUCUCUGUUCCGCUCCCGAGGAGAGGUUUGUUUUCAUACGGAAACGUUUCCCUAUGAAAAUAUGAAUAUUAAACAAAAAAUUGCUAUCCUGUGUGACUGCUUGAGAGAGAAGGGUGAUGAACGCUAGAUUGCCUUAUUGAUUCAAGUCAAUGGAAACUGUCAAAUUGAACGCGAAUUGAACGUGUAAACACCACCAUUCGAUAGUGAUUUUUCACAAAGGCCUAACUGACUUGAUCAAUUUCUUAUCGUCGACUCUCUCUUUCGCUAAUAACUUGAUCAAAACAAACAAAAUCAUUAUUCUUUUUGUUUCUAUAGCAACAUGUAGUCGUCUUCUUCGCAUUUUAAUGCUAGGUAUGGACCUCAAACGGAAUCGCUCAAGUAAUUUUCGUUCAGUGCAUUAAUUUUCAGUGACCGGAAUGGUCAAGAAAUUUAACACAGCAAGCCCCAUUUGAUUUGACGUUUCGUUUCAGCUCCGUACUAGGAACCGGAAUAAAGCAACGCUUUCUCAUUUCUUGAGCGAUUGCUUGCCUGAAUUUCCCAUGCAUCGAGAUAGGCCAAGAAAUUUCUUGCGAUCUCCGUACUACCCAUAACCAAAAAAUCUCAGUAAGGCCGAAAUGAAAAAUCAGUGUCGCAUUCAUCUCACCUGAGCAACACACUUGACUUGAACGAAAGUUGAACAUGUUGAACUUCUGCAGUCAAAUCAAACGAAAUCACAAGGGGUUUCCAACAAGUUUUUUUUAAAGACAUGUAAUCAAUGAUUAUUUUAGAUUUCUCUGAGUAAUCAGGUAAUCACAAGUAAUCUGAAGUAAUCAUUAGUAAUCCGAAGUAAUCAAUGGUAAUCAGAUGUAAUCAAUAAUAAUCAGAUGUAAUCAAUGGUAAUCAAAUGCAAUCAACUAGGUAAUCAACGGUAUGUAUAACCAAACAAAGUAAUCAUGAGUAAUUAGUUGUAAUCAUAUGAUAAUCAUAGGUAAACUGAGUAAUCAGUAGUAAUCUUAAGUAAUAAAUAGUAAUCCUGGUUAUCAAUAAGUAAUUAAAGUAAUCACACGUAAUCAUGGUAAUCAGAAGUAAUCAUUAUUAAACUGAGUAAUCUUGAGUAAUCACAAGUAAUCAUGGGGUAAUCAAAAGUAAUCAUUAAUAAUCCGAUUGAUUGAUUGAUUUGUUUUUAUUUAAGAGACUUUCAGCCCUUGGCUGGCUCGUCUCUUUAAUAAUCCGAGGUAAUCAAUGGUAAUCAGAUGUAAUCAAGGGUAACCAAAUGUAAUUAAUGGUAAUCAAAUGUAAUCAAAUACAGUCAGGUUUUUUUACGCUGGGGAUACGUACUGCGUAAAAAAACUCAGUUCAAAAUUCAAAAAACCGCGUGAAAAAAAGUUUCACCAUUUCUCGACGAAUCAUGCAAAAAUAAGACGAUUAUUUUUUUUUGUGUGGGGUUUUCAUUUACGUGGCCGCCUAAAUGAAAACCGCGUAAAAAAGACCAGACUGUAGGUAAUCAACGGUAUAACCAAACAAAGUAAUCAUGAGUAAUCAUAUGAUAAUCAUAUAUGAUAGGUAAUCUGUUUUGAACACCACUGAACUGACAGUUUGGAAGCACCACUGUGACGUCGGUUCGUCGGUGACCAAAAAUCAGUAUUCAAGCUAUAUUUUCAUUUGAGAUCAUUUCAGAUGGUUUCGAAAUAUUCUAUCGGUGAAAAUUUUUCCAUACAUUUUUUGAAGAAAUUGGCCGAAAACGAAAAUUCAUGUAAAUUUGUAUGAAAAACCGUUAAAAAGAUGAAAAUAUCAAAAUUUCACCGAUGAAAUAUUUUAAAAGUUUCUGCAUAUGACAAUAUGGCAUAAAUUCCGACAUUCUGUGGAAGGAAACCCGAUGUACACUCAAUUUUUAUAUUCUGCUCACUAGGGUGCGAGGACGCCAUCUUUUAGAAUCCAACAUGUUGUAUGUAAACAUUUGUGUAUCCACAAAGGAUUCCAUUGUGGAUACACGAUAGAUGUUGGCUCCUGUCAGAUACAUUAGGUGGGAUUAGGGUUCCCGGAUAAAAAAUUACCAUUCAUUACAUGGUAAAUAUUAUUAACAUAUGACUGGUUUUAUUGUUCACAAUAAAACACAUAGUAGAUAUAUUGUUACUUUUUACAAUAGAAAGCAAGCCCAUAUAGUUCGUACAAUAAGUGAACAUUAGCUUUAUUAGUAACUAAUUGAUUCGAUUGUUUUUCAAUAGUUCUAUAAUAAUUUAAAGUUACUAUCAGUAAAAAAUAAUUUAAGUUGUUUUUAUAUAGUUGCAAAAGUGCAUGCAAAGUUCUCAUGGACUUUUUAUUAAAAAAAGAGUUUAUUUCUCAAUUACACUUAAAAACAAUUCGUAGCAAAUAAAUAACAAUAAAUAUUAUUGUUACUUGGAUAAUGUUUGUAUAAUCAAAUACAAAAUCAAUUGACAUAUUUUUUUUAUAGUUUUCGUUUUAAAUUUGAGUACAGUAGAUGUUUCGGUUAUCGAAUGUUAUUCGCUAAAACUUCAACGACUGACAGACGUCAAGCCGUGUUGGCAGAGGAAGAUCUCAAUGAAUAACUGAGGAAGUACUCAUAGAAAACUAGCUGAAAAGCAGGUUUAGCCAAAUGAGGAUGUUACGACAAGAAAAAGAUGAACAAUGAUUUUUCUAAUGUUUUCCAAUAAAUUAAAGGAAUCUAGUAAAUAGUAAACUACCAUUGAUAACAAUACAAAUACAAUUAGUUUAAUGGGGUCAAUUGAACCGAUGUUAAAAUAAACAUGCAAUAAUAUUUGUUGUUAACAGAUUUCGCCUUUGAAAAACCAAAGAAUUCAUAUUUCUCGGUAACAUUUUUCUCCAGCAUUUACAGAUACUAAUGGCCACAUGAAUUGUGAACGAUUUAUGGUAUGGAUCAUACGACCUAAUAUUAUAUACAACAAAUAUUAUUGUAUUUUUAUUGUAACAACGAUUCAUUUGACGCCAUUCAAUUAAUUGUAUUUGUAUUGUAAGAACAAUGAAAAAACAUUAAGAUAUAUUGUUAUUUUUUGAAAAUUGCCCUAAAAAUGUCUCAUAAAAACACAAUACAUUCUAUUGUUUUUCGCGAAAAAGUGUAUGAAAAUUUUCUCAAAAUUUUAUGGUUAAGAUAUUUACAUAACGACCACCAUUUUUUAUUGUAAAAAAGCCAUUUACCAUUCGCCGAAUGGUAUAGAACAAUAGGGGUGAUGGUGAGUUUGCCGUGUAAAUUACAAUGCGUUUAAUGGUGAAUAUUUUUCGAAAAAAUGGUGUUGUAACAAUAAAAUUUAUCGUAUUUUUAUGAUACUUUUUAUCAGGGAAAGAACUGCAAGAAGUCUCAGAUUUUGUGUACCCUGUUUAUUCAAAAGCAGAUGCUCCUACAAAAAUGCAAGAUUUGGUUAAAUAAUUGGCUUAUUUCAUUCAAUCUGAAGAAAUAUAUUAUAAAUGAGUCUUAGUUGUGAACCACAUUCAUUUUUAACAUGAUUUAUUUGAAAAGAAUGUCUAAAUAAUGAAACAAGUAGUUCAUGCUAGAAAUUUAAAUACUUUCGGUGCCAUUUCUCGAAAUAUGAGUCGUCCAAUGUAUAUUAUUUCUGCCAGAAUACAGUCUAGAAGAUAUUGGGAGCUAUUAGAAGACGUAAUAGUAGUAAACGCUGUGAUUUAAGCAAGUGAAACCAUCAUAUUUCAUCAAAACAAUACUUAAAUACGUGAUUUUUUGAUGGUUUGUGUUAUUUUUUUCUGUUAAAACGUUGUUUUUCGCAAAAUUUCAACCUGCUUUGAUCAUGAAACUUUCAUUAGCUUCUUUUGAAACACUUCCGAUAAAAAUAACUACAUCAAAUCUCAAUUGAGAAACAUUUAAAUUAUUAUGACAUAUUUAUAUGAGAUGCAUGCAAAAUUAAUAUGGCAACACUUCCAAAAACGAUCUAAUUCAUGAUUUACAAGUCGAUCUAUAAUGCAGAUCACCAUACAAAACGACUUUGUUGGAUAUGUUUCGAAAUUUGAUAUAUCAAUUGUAUACAAUUCGGCUAAACGAAUGUCUCGGCAAAAAUGACAUUUGAAGGGUUUUCACCCUCAUUUUAGUUUCAGUGUAUAUGUAAGUGUGAGGUAUUACAUUUUUAUAAAACAGUACUAGAUAUUCUAUCACUACGAUAAAAAAGUUUUAUCAUAAAAUCUUUUGUAUGAGUUUCCUGGCACUUUUUUGAAUUUUUUUUAGCCUCGACUAAACGAAUGUCUAUCACUGUAUGGCAUAAAUUCCGACAUUCUGUGGAAAGAAACCCGAUGUACACACAAUUUUUAUAUUCUGCUAGUUCAGACAUAGCGUGGGUAAUCAGAAGUAAUCAGUAAUAAUCUUGAGUAAUCAAUAGUAAUUUUUGUAAUCAAUAAGUAAUCAUAGUAAUCACAGUAAUCAGAGUAUUUUUUUUUUCAGUAGUGACAAGUAAUCAAUUGGGGACUACGAAGGUUGAUGAGCCGGGAAACACUCUUUCUUCCUACGGGGUUUCUUAUGGGAGUAUGAGUGAAAAAAAAGCAAAAAAUCUUCCCUCCUUCACUUUCCCACAGAAAACCGCAAACAAAAUCAUCACCUUCGUGAUCCCCAAUUUAGUUUGAAACCCCUUGCGAAAUCAUCCCACUUGCCCCGUCAAAACCCGCGAUUCAUGUGAGUUGAAUUCAAGCGAAGACGGCUAAUAACAGGACAGACAGCUCCCACCCUAUCGCAGGCGACAAGGUUGAAACGCCCUCAACGAUUCACAGGAACAUGAUUGUGUGCGUGUACAUGCAAAUACGUACACGGAAGCUGCAGCAUCUCACACACACUUAUUAAUUAUGUUGUUCCCGGGAGGCGUUCGCGGUGCUAGUGUGCUUGAAGUUCUCAGAGUAUAUGGAGCAAGAGGGUAGAUGUCUGUCUUGUUAUUAACCGUCUUCGAAUCAAGUCAUCUGUCAAGCUAGAUUAAUUCAAUUCAGUUUGCUUACGCACCGCACGAGUUGAACAAUGUAAACAUCUGUUUCAAGUGAGAUGCAUUCAAGAGCAUGCAAGUGGACACCCAAGUCAUUUUUUCAGUCUUAACACGUCAUUCCAUUGUAUUGAACAUGCUUGAGAAGUUUUCAAGUCAGAUGUUCGUUUGAAUUGAACAGUCUAAACCAGGCAUAAACCAGAGAAGUUGUUUAUUUUUAUUUAUAAACAACUUCUCUGGCAUAAACCUCGCACUCGUUUGGUUUUCUUUCCAUUUAUCUACACGCUCGUUGAAAACUACUCUCAAAUGAGUAAAUUAUACUCACUUUCAAACUUUUGCUAAAUCUGUCAAAGGUGAGUAACAUGCAUUUGUCAAAGUGAGUUAUUAACUACUCUCUUAUAGGAAAAUUAGUGCUUUACUCACUUUUGAGUAUCGGCAUCAGAAAAGAACUCAGUUUCAACCGCCGAAAACUUACGAAAAACAUGCGAAGUCUGGACCUCGGUCCGGACUUAACGAUUAUUAUUGAAAAAUCUAUAUUUUUAAGGUAGUUUUCAUGCGGAAAAGUGUUGAAGAAAAUGAAUCCGGAAAUUGUCCGAAAUGGAAGACCGUGUCCAUGUGACGAAAAAACAUGUCGAAGACGAACAAGCCAAAUUAAUGAGCCCCGAAAGACACCCUGUGUGUGUCCCCGUCCCGGUCGCCGUGGUGUCUCCUUUCAAAGAAUCUGCUUUGGCCAAUAUGCGCUGGAACCACCAAAAAUCAAAGUCGGGAUGGAAUCAGACCGAGGUCCAGACAGUCAAGUGGACCAAGGCGAAGAUUUAGCUAUUUUAUUAUUAUUUUUUCAAUUUUAAAACUGUUAACAUUUAUGCAAUGGAGAAAUAAAUAAAUAAUUAAUGUUAUUGA
This is a long non-coding RNA of Aedes albopictus (Asian tiger mosquito), 9883 nucleotides long. RefSeq lists it as uncharacterized. NCBI's taxonomy places the organism in Eukaryota, Metazoa, Arthropoda, Insecta, Diptera, Culicidae. The transcript is spliced from 2 exons. The record is from RefSeq and is a predicted model, not a curated record.